RNAcentral lists this ribosomal RNA (30 nucleotides) under Crangonyx islandicus. Its description in RNAcentral is "partial 5.8S ribosomal RNA". The record is from RNAcentral. Lineage: Eukaryota; Metazoa; Arthropoda; Malacostraca; Amphipoda; Crangonyctidae.
AACCACCAUACAAUUUGAGCGGUGGAUCAA